GCGAGUCGAGAGUCUUAGGGACUCGGCGUACCGCUCAGUAACACGUGGGUAACCUGCCCUGUGCUGGGGAAUAACCUCGGGAAACUGAGAAUAAUGCCCCAUAAUUCACUACGCCUGGAACGGUGGGUGGAUCAAAGCUCCGGCGGCACAGGAUGGGCCUGCGGCGUAUCAGGUCGUAGGGGGUGUAAUGUACCCUCUAGCCUUCAACGCGUACGGGUUGUGGGAGCAAUCGCCCGGAGAUGGAUUCUGAGACACGAAUCCAGACCCUACGGGGUGCAGCAGGCGCGAAAACUUCACACUGCAGGAAACUGUGAUGAGGGAAUUCCAAGUGGCCAGACAAAGUCUGGUCUUUUAUGUAACUUUUAAUCGGUUACAGAACAAA
This 382-nucleotide ribosomal RNA is filed under the name uncultured Methanimicrococcus sp. RNAcentral describes it as "bacterial SSU rRNA". It matches the Rfam family "Archaeal small subunit ribosomal RNA", at positions 53 to 439 of the family's 1478-position model. The record is from RNAcentral. Lineage: Archaea; Methanobacteriati; Methanobacteriota; Methanomicrobia; Methanosarcinales; Methanosarcinaceae.